CGUGUGCAAAUGCUAAACUAUUCGACAGUUUUCUUAACUUUUGUUUCGGUAUUUGACAAUUUUUCAAGAAAUGUUCGCACGCCACCCGGGUUUAACGGUAAUUUUUAAUUUAAAUUCUGUUUCUUUUUAGAUUUUAAAUGUUAGAUCAUUAAUGUUCAUUAAUGUCUAAACUACCCGUCUAGUGUAUUUUUUUGUUUGUGUUAGUUACCUUAAAUUAAAUAAUAUAUAUAUAGCGAUGAGUUUGUUUACAAUUUUUGUACACGUGCAUGCGCAGACGUUUUUGCCCGGUGUUACACGCUCAGGUAACACGGCGGAAAAACGUCUGCGCAUGCGUCAACCUUACCUGUAAUAGUAUUGCUAACUUGAUGAGAAGCUGUUCCGAACGUUUCCGAAGGCUCAAAAUGGCAGUAAAAAGGAGUGACUUCAUUGUGCGUCUUUACAGCCAGAUUUCGAGCGUAAAAAUAAACACGUCAUGUCUAAAAACUAGGAAUAAAUACAGCCAGAAGGUUCAAGAAGUUGUAUUGUACAAGAACAUGAACUAAAGGUGAUUGUUGACAAAUUUAUCGUCUGAAAUAUUUUGUUUAUCAACUAAGCAACGACAAUUUCCGAAUUUUCGUUUGAGAUACAUUUCUUUAAAAAAAAC
Paramuricea clavata is the source of this 643-nucleotide non-coding RNA. The record is from the annotation of a GenBank genome assembly. NCBI's taxonomy places the organism in Eukaryota, Metazoa, Cnidaria, Anthozoa, Malacalcyonacea, Plexauridae.